AACAAACUACUUUGAGAAAAUAGCCCUAUUUCGCAAAAACGACUGAUGUGGACAAAUAUGGCUAGAUAUGCAAGAUUUGGCUAAGACCCCGCGAAACCAAGAACCUAAGACUUACUAGGAAGACCGGACACUAUGUGGGCUGCCUACAUAUCCCGCCCCGAAGGACGAUAAUCAGGUAUGCGUAGUUCGUGAAGAUUGGAUACAGGAGAGAAAUUAAAAAACACUUAUUUGGAGAAAACAUUUUUUUCUGAAAAAUGAUGAAACAUGUAAAAUAUUUUUUGAUUUUUCUUUUUCUCUUUUUUUUCUUCUAAUUUUUUGAAAAUAAUGGGAAGUGCAAAAUCCUUUUGGAUUUUCAUUUUCAAAUUUUUUUUUGGCUUUUCUUGAAAAAGUUGUGAAAGAAGAAUAUAAUUGGGCCCUACUUGCUUCAUCUUUAUACCCUCAACCAUCAUUGGUCCAUCAAAUGACCUAUUUACCCUAAAAGAAUGCAAUAUCUAACACAUAGGGAUGAUCAAAUAUCUUUUUGCGCCAUUGGCCCGUUUUGACAUAAUUUGGAUAGGCCUCCUACAAAGGGACACGAUGCUUGGGACCGAGCCCUGAUAAGUGUAAAUGACAUGAUACAAAUAAGCAUGACCUAAAGGCUGACCUAAGUUUGGGUUUCACUAGACAAAGGCAAUUCGGGGCGACACGCGGUCGAUGGCUGCUCUAGCUGUCCGCCCACUCCACGCUCUCAUGCCACCCCCUAAAGACAUAGGUGAUUCACAAAAAGGUUGUGUAUGCUAUAACGUACUCUGGAAGACUUGUUGCAGAAAGAAAACUCAUGGUUAUGCAAAUGAUGACAGUUAUAAAGCGGUAAACACACAGGAAAAGCGAUAAACAAAUCACCAACAAAAUAGGAAACAAGACAAACAAAGCAAAUAAACAAAGCAAAUAAAGAAAACAAACACCUCAACCGAAUAUCCUAAAAGCCAACAAGAUCAAGUAUCAACUCGAACCUGCAACUCCCCGAUAGAUUCGUCAAAGCUAUCACACCCCUUUUUUACCUCACUAACCUUCUUAAAAUUAACAAAAAGAUUUGGAAAGCUCAAAAGGGUUUUCAAUUGGAAUAUAACAAAAAACAAUGUUCAAAAGGACUUUUUAGAGUUGCCACCUAACAUUUGAUUUCGGUGUAUCAGGUCACUGUUUUUAGAAAUAAUUUUUCCUUUUAAAACACUUUAGACUCCAAAACUAAGUCUGCACCAGAGAUUCAGGUAAGAUCAAUUGACUCGGGGAGAAUGUGUUAGGCAUUCCCCGAGUCCCGUGGAAAUCACGGUUGCGUACCCGAUCUAAUUGGCUUUCAGAAAUAUUCAAAUUGAGGUAGAAACACACAAAAAGAAAAAAUAAACAUAGAAGAGGCUCGAGAUUGCCCCACCUAAUAAAAGAAAAAUAAAAAAAAAUAAAAUAAUAAAAAGUAAAAUCCUAAGCUAACCUACACUAUACUUCCUCCACGGUAUAGUUUCGGCCUCCGUUUACAUUCACCUCGGGGCAUACCCCUGAUAAAAGAAUAUAAAAUAUAUAUAUAUAUAUAUAUGUAUGUGUGUGUGUACAAACUCUACGGGCAUUCCCCUAGAUAUAAACUAAAGGGAACGACCUCUUACCUCGAGUAAAAUAAAGGACAAGACCUAAAGUUGCCUACCCGAGUGAUGACGACCUAACAUGCUCCAAGCAGUUUAAUUAAUAAGAGUUAGAAUAAAAGAAGUGAUAAAACAUUUUAAAACCCAGUCCAGUAUGAUUUUAAUUUUUAGUCCAAACCCACAGCCCUAGACCUUUCAAACAUCCAAGCAAUCAUCUAAUCUACUCAACUUUGUUAACUUAAUUUUCCAUCACUAUACUAUUAAUCCUAAAACCUCGAAACAUUUACCUUUUAAUAAAGCAUUGCAAAUGAAACUUCAAGUUUACUUUAUCUUUUAAGAAUUCAUCCGAAUAUAAAAAUAUAUGGAAGAAACACACGAACAAUAAUCAAAAGAAGGGAAAAAAACGCAAACAAAUUCUACUAAGGCAUCACGAGCAAAAUGAAACAUUAAUUCAAAAGAUCAACAAAACACAUCAAAGAGAGAUUAACGAGAUUGGAAGCAAUGAAUUAAGCCAAAAAAUAGUACAAGAAAGGGAGAAAUAAACCUCGAAUAGAUUUGAAAUUUGACUGUUGGACAGUUUGACGAUACUAAGCAAUGGAACCGUGAAUAAGAUCUAAACCGGAAAACCUCGCUGGAAACCUCGUCGAACUCUGACCGGACUGCCUCGCUACCUCCCUUUACUCAGAUCUGAGCGUCCGCUCCUCCAUCAAAUUCUCACUUUGUUUUUGCGACCUCUUGUUGCACUCUCUCACGUUGCUGCUGCUGGUUUCCGGCGAACUCUGUGGCGUUGCUGGGAAAAGAGGGGUCUUUGAGAGAUGGGUGUGGCUAAAGCUUUUUAAGAGAGGGGUGGAGGUUGCAGCAUGGAGAAGAUGGCAAUAGCAGUAGUGGUUGUUGAUGGUUGUCGGAUUUCCGGCGAUUUGGUGUGGAUGGAGAUGGGUUUGAUAGGGGUGGCUGAUGUGCGGCGUCUGUGAGGUGAGGGAGGAAAGGUUGGAUGCAGCUAGGUUUUCUCUACUGCAUCUGUGUUCCCCCUAUUCUUUUUGUUAUUUUCUUGUCCCUCUUUUUUACUUGUCUUAUGUAUUUGUGCUUGAACAAGAAAG
RNAcentral lists this long non-coding RNA (2707 nucleotides) under Nicotiana tabacum (common tobacco). Its description in RNAcentral is "long non-coding RNA (NTAB_LNC006729)". Lineage: Eukaryota; Viridiplantae; Streptophyta; Magnoliopsida; Solanales; Solanaceae. The record is from RNAcentral.